This 404-nucleotide ribosomal RNA is filed under the name Actinomycetes bacterium. Its description in RNAcentral is "Actinobacteria bacterium partial 16S ribosomal RNA". It matches the Rfam family "Bacterial small subunit ribosomal RNA", at positions 355 to 776 of the family's 1533-position model. The record is from RNAcentral. Lineage: Bacteria; Bacillati; Actinomycetota; Actinomycetes.
UGGGGAAUAUUGGACAAUGGGCGCAAGCCUGAUCCAGCCAUGCCGCGUGAGUGAUGAAGGCCCUAGGGUUGUAAAGCUCUUUCACCGGUGAAGAUAAUGACGGUAACCGGAGAAGAAGCCCCGGAUAACUUCGUGCCAGCAGCCGCGGUAAUACGAAGGGGGCUAGCGUUGUUCGGAUUUACUGGGCGUAAAGCGCACGUAGGCGGACUUUUAAGUCAGGGGUGAAAUCCCGGGGCUCAACCCCGGAACUGCCUUUGAUACUGGAAGUCUUGAGUAUGGUAGAGGUGAGUGGAAUUCCGAGUGUAGAGGUGAAAUUCGUAGAUAUUCGGAGGAACACCAGUGGCGAAGGCGGCUCACUGGACCAUUACUGACGCUGAGGUGCGAAAGCGUGGGGAGCAAACAGG